UACGUAGGUGGCAAGCGUUGUCCGGAAUUAUUGGGCGUAAAGCGCGCGCAGGCGGUCUUUUAAGUCUGAUGUGAAAGCCCACGGCUCAACCGUGGAGGGUCAUUGGAAACUGGGAGACUUGAGUGCAGAAGAGAAGAGUGGAAUUCCACGUGUAGCGGUGAAAUGCGUAGAGAUGUGGAGGAACACCAGUGGCGAAGGCGACUCUUUGGCCUGUAACUGACGCUGAGGCGCGAAAGCGUGGGGAGCAAACAGG
RNAcentral lists this ribosomal RNA (253 nucleotides) under uncultured bacterium. Its description in RNAcentral is "partial 16S ribosomal RNA". It matches the Rfam family "Bacterial small subunit ribosomal RNA", at positions 524 to 776 of the family's 1533-position model. The record is from RNAcentral.